This 397-nucleotide ribosomal RNA is filed under the name uncultured bacterium. RNAcentral's name for it is "partial 16S ribosomal RNA". It matches the Rfam family "Bacterial small subunit ribosomal RNA", at positions 523 to 918 of the family's 1533-position model. The record is from RNAcentral.
AUACGUAGGGGGCGAGCGUUGUCCGGAAUGAUUGGGCGUAAAGGGCGCGUAGGCGGCGCGGUAAGUCUGGAGUGAAAGUCCUGCUUUCAAGGUGGGAAUUGCUUUGGAUACUGCAGUGCUAGAGUGCGGAAGAGGUAAGUGGAAUUCCCAGUGUAGCGGUGAAAUGCGUAGAGAUUGGGAGGAACACCAGUGGCGAAGGCGACUUACUGGGACGGAACUGACGCUCAGGCGCGAAAGCGUGGGGAGCGAACAGGAUUAGAUGCCCUGGUAGUCCACGCCGUAAACGAUGAAAGCUAGGUGUUGAGGGUAUCGAGCCCUGCAGUGCCGGAGUAAACACAAAAAGUAUUCCGCCUGGGGAGUACGGCCGCAAGUUUGAAACUUAAAGGAAGUGACGGGG